UACGUAGGUCCCGAGCGUUGUCCGGAUUUGUUGGGCGUAAAGCGAGCGCAGGUGGUUUAUUAAGUCUGGUGUAAAAGGCAGUGGCUCAACCAUUGUAUGCAUUGGAAACUGGUAGACUUGAGUGCAGGAGAGGAGAGUGGAAUUCCAUGUGUAGCGGUGAAAUGCGUAGAUAUAUGGAGGAACACCGGUGGCGAAAGCGGCUCUCUGGCCCGUAACUGACACUGAGGCUCGAAAGCGUGGGGAGCAAACAGG
This 252-nucleotide ribosomal RNA is filed under the name uncultured bacterium. RNAcentral describes it as "partial 16S ribosomal RNA". It matches the Rfam family "Bacterial small subunit ribosomal RNA", at positions 524 to 776 of the family's 1533-position model. The record is from RNAcentral.